RNAcentral lists this long non-coding RNA (588 nucleotides) under Helianthus annuus (common sunflower). RNAcentral describes it as "hypothetical non coding rna". Lineage: Eukaryota; Viridiplantae; Streptophyta; Magnoliopsida; Asterales; Asteraceae. The record is from RNAcentral.
ACAAAUAAAAAAGAACAGAGGGCGUGACCAGGAGGUCGCCCCUGUGCGAUGCGAGGAGACAGAGGAAUGGGGAGGUCAAAUUCAUGAUGGAAAUCACGAGAUUAGGAGGCUAAGGUCUCAAUACUAUCAUCCUUGCUCGAUUUCUAGGGCUUUGGAAUGGCAUGGAUUGUAAGACAAUAGGUCAAAACAAAUGAAAUGGAUGACAACACUCCUACGGGCAAAGGUGAUAUGUUUAAAAACAAUGAACGAAUAGAUAAGUCAUGAGAAACAACGGGGUGGCUUGAACCGAUAACAUGGAAGAAGAAAAGAACUCAAAAGUCAUUCACCAAUAAUCCGAUUCGGGUGGUAUAAAAGUCUUGGAAGCGGGGCAAUUAUGGAAAGAUUUAGUGAUGAUUUGUUCACUAAGUAUAUGGGUUUCUUAUCGGGUCAAAUUGACCUAGUUAUUUACAUUUUGGAGUUUAACUUCAAUGUUUUAUCUAAGCGCUAGUAUGUCAAUGUAGUAGUUGGUUAUGUUUGUUUUAUAAAAACUUUGGUUAUUGAGCAGGUUUUGUCUUCGUAAGGAAUGGUCGUUUUGCAAACUGGUCAUAG